This 484-nucleotide ribosomal RNA is filed under the name uncultured bacterium. RNAcentral's name for it is "partial 16S ribosomal RNA". It matches the Rfam family "Bacterial small subunit ribosomal RNA", at positions 30 to 507 of the family's 1533-position model. The record is from RNAcentral.
AUUGAACGCUGGCGGCAGGCCUAACACAUGCAAGUCGAGCGGAUGAAGGGAGCUUGCUCCUGGAUUCAGCGGCGGACGGGUGAGUAAUGCCUAGGAAUCUGCCUGUUAGUGGGGGAUUACGUCCUGAAACGGGCGCUAAUACCUCAUACGUCCUGAGGGAGAAAUUGGGGGAUCUUCGGACCUCACGCUAUCAGAUGAGCCUAGGUCGGAUUAGCUAGUUGGUGGGGUAAAGGCCUACCAAGGCGACGAUCCGUAACUGGUCUGAGAGGAUGAUCAGUCACACUGGAACUGAGACAAGGUCCAGACUCCUAAGGGAGGCAGCAGUGGGGAAUAUUGGACAAUGGGCGAAAGCCUGAUCCAGCCAUGCCGCGUGUGUGAAGAAGGUCUUCGGAUUGUAAAGAACUUUAAGUGGGGAGGAAGGGCAGUAAGUUAAUAACUUGCUGUUUUGACGUUACCAACAGAAUAAGCACCGGCUAACUUCGUG